This 2903-nucleotide ribosomal RNA is filed under the name Escherichia coli. RNAcentral's name for it is "23S ribosomal RNA". It matches the Rfam family "Bacterial large subunit ribosomal RNA". The record is from RNAcentral. Lineage: Bacteria; Pseudomonadati; Pseudomonadota; Gammaproteobacteria; Enterobacterales; Enterobacteriaceae.
UUAAGCGACUAAGCGUACACGGUGGAUGCCCUGGCAGUCAGAGGCGAUGAAGGACGUGCUAAUCUGCGAUAAGCGUCGGUAAGGUGAUAUGAACCGUUAUAACCGGCGAUUUCCGAAUGGGGAAACCCAGUGUGAUUCGUCACACUAUCAUUAACUGAAUCCAUAGGUUAAUGAGGCGAACCGGGGGAACUGAAACAUCUAAGUACCCCGAGGAAAAGAAAUCAACCGAGAUUCCCCCAGUAGCGGCGAGCGAACGGGGAGCAGCCCAGAGCCUGAAUCAGUGUGUGUGUUAGUGGAAGCGUCUGGAAAGGCGCGCGAUACAGGGUGACAGCCCCGUACACAAAAAUGCACAUGCUGUGAGCUCGAUGAGUAGGGCGGGACACGUGGUAUCCUGUCUGAAUAUGGGGGGACCAUCCUCCAAGGCUAAAUACUCCUGACUGACCGAUAGUGAACCAGUACCGUGAGGGAAAGGCGAAAAGAACCCCGGCGAGGGGAGUGAAAAAGAACCUGAAACCGUGUACGUACAAGCAGUGGGAGCACGCUUAGGCGUGUGACUGCGUACCUUUUGUAUAAUGGGUCAGCGACUUAUAUUCUGUAGCAAGGUUAACCGAAUAGGGGAGCCGAAGGGAAACCGAGUCUUAACUGGGCGUUAAGUUGCAGGGUAUAGACCCGAAACCCGGUGAUCUAGCCAUGGGCAGGUUGAAGGUUGGGUAACACUAACUGGAGGACCGAACCGACUAAUGUUGAAAAAUUAGCGGAUGACUUGUGGCUGGGGGUGAAAGGCCAAUCAAACCGGGAGAUAGCUGGUUCUCCCCGAAAGCUAUUUAGGUAGCGCCUCGUGAAUUCAUCUCCGGGGGUAGAGCACUGUUUCGGCAAGGGGGUCAUCCCGACUUACCAACCCGAUGCAAACUGCGAAUACCGGAGAAUGUUAUCACGGGAGACACACGGCGGGUGCUAACGUCCGUCGUGAAGAGGGAAACAACCCAGACCGCCAGCUAAGGUCCCAAAGUCAUGGUUAAGUGGGAAACGAUGUGGGAAGGCCCAGACAGCCAGGAUGUUGGCUUAGAAGCAGCCAUCAUUUAAAGAAAGCGUAAUAGCUCACUGGUCGAGUCGGCCUGCGCGGAAGAUGUAACGGGGCUAAACCAUGCACCGAAGCUGCGGCAGCGACGCUUAUGCGUUGUUGGGUAGGGGAGCGUUCUGUAAGCCUGCGAAGGUGUGCUGUGAGGCAUGCUGGAGGUAUCAGAAGUGCGAAUGCUGACAUAAGUAACGAUAAAGCGGGUGAAAAGCCCGCUCGCCGGAAGACCAAGGGUUCCUGUCCAACGUUAAUCGGGGCAGGGUGAGUCGACCCCUAAGGCGAGGCCGAAAGGCGUAGUCGAUGGGAAACAGGUUAAUAUUCCUGUACUUGGUGUUACUGCGAAGGGGGGACGGAGAAGGCUAUGUUGGCCGGGCGACGGUUGUCCCGGUUUAAGCGUGUAGGCUGGUUUUCCAGGCAAAUCCGGAAAAUCAAGGCUGAGGCGUGAUGACGAGGCACUACGGUGCUGAAGCAACAAAUGCCCUGCUUCCAGGAAAAGCCUCUAAGCAUCAGGUAACAUCAAAUCGUACCCCAAACCGACACAGGUGGUCAGGUAGAGAAUACCAAGGCGCUUGAGAGAACUCGGGUGAAGGAACUAGGCAAAAUGGUGCCGUAACUUCGGGAGAAGGCACGCUGAUAUGUAGGUGAAGUCCCUCGCGGAUGGAGCUGAAAUCAGUCGAAGAUACCAGCUGGCUGCAACUGUUUAUUAAAAACACAGCACUGUGCAAACACGAAAGUGGACGUAUACGGUGUGACGCCUGCCCGGUGCCGGAAGGUUAAUUGAUGGGGUUAGCGGUAACGCGAAGCUCUUGAUCGAAGCCCCGGUAAACGGCGGCCGUAACUAUAACGGUCCUAAGGUAGCGAAAUUCCUUGUCGGGUAAGUUCCGACCUGCACGAAUGGCGUAAUGAUGGCCAGGCUGUCUCCACCCGAGACUCAGUGAAAUUGAACUCGCUGUGAAGAUGCAGUGUACCCGCGGCAAGACGGAAAGACCCCGUGAACCUUUACUAUAGCUUGACACUGAACAUUGAGCCUUGAUGUGUAGGAUAGGUGGGAGGCUUUGAAGUGUGGACGCCAGUCUGCAUGGAGCCGACCUUGAAAUACCACCCUUUAAUGUUUGAUGUUCUAACGUUGACCCGUGAUCCGGGUUGCGGACAGUGUCUGGUGGGUAGUUUGACUGGGGCGGUCUCCUCCUAAAGAGUAACGGAGGAGCACGAAGGUUGGCUAAUCCUGGUCGGACAUCAGGAGGUUAGUGCAAUGGCAUAAGCCAGCUUGACUGCGAGCGUGACGGCGCGAGCAGGUGCGAAAGCAGGUCAUAGUGAUCCGGUGGUUCUGAAUGGAAGGGCCAUCGCUCAACGGAUAAAAGGUACUCCGGGGAUAACAGGCUGAUACCGCCCAAGAGUUCAUAUCGACGGCGGUGUUUGGCACCUCGAUGUCGGCUCAUCACAUCCUGGGGCUGAAGUAGGUCCCAAGGGUAUGGCUGUUCGCCAUUUAAAGUGGUACGCGAGCUGGGUUUAGAACGUCGUGAGACAGUUCGGUCCCUAUCUGCCGUGGGCGCUGGAGAACUGAGGGGGGCUGCUCCUAGUACGAGAGGACCGGAGUGGACGCAUCACUGGUGUUCGGGUUGUCAUGCCAAUGGCACUGCCCGGUAGCUAAAUGCGGAAGAGAUAAGUGCUGAAAGCAUCUAAGCACGAAACUUGCCCCGAGAUGAGUUCUCCCUGACCCUUUAAGGGUCCUGAAGGAACGUUGAAGACGACGACGUUGAUAGGCCGGGUGUGUAAGCGCAGCGAUGCGUUGAGCUAACCGGUACUAAUGAACCGUGAGGCUUAACCU